This 468-nucleotide ribosomal RNA is filed under the name uncultured bacterium. RNAcentral describes it as "partial 16S ribosomal RNA". It matches the Rfam family "Bacterial small subunit ribosomal RNA", at positions 28 to 507 of the family's 1533-position model. The record is from RNAcentral.
GACGAACGCUGGCGGCGUGCUUAACACAUGCAAGUCGAACGGAAAGGCCCUGCUUUUGUGGGGUGCUCGAGUGGCGAACGGGUGAGUAACACGUGAGUAACCUGCCCUUGACUUUGGGAUAACUUCAGGAAACUGGGGCUAAUACCGGAUAGGAGCUCCUGCUGCAUGGUGGGGGUUGGAAAGUUUCGGCGGUUGGGGAUGGACUCGCGGCUGAUCAGCUUGUUGGUGGGGUAGUGGCUUACCAAGGCUUUGACGGGUAGCCGGCCUGAGAGGGUGACCGGCCACAUUGGGACUGAGAUACGGCCCAGACUCCUACGGAAGGCAGCAGUGGGGAAUAUUGCACAAUGGGCGGAAGCCUGAUGCAGCAACGCCGCGUGCGGGAUGACGGCCUUCGGGUUGUAAACCGCUUUCGCCUGUGACGAAGCGUGAGUGACGGUAAUGGAUAAAGAAGCACCGGCUAACUACGUG